This 301-nucleotide ribosomal RNA is filed under the name uncultured bacterium. RNAcentral describes it as "partial 16S ribosomal RNA". It matches the Rfam family "Bacterial small subunit ribosomal RNA", at positions 509 to 808 of the family's 1533-position model. The record is from RNAcentral.
CAGUAGCCGCGGGAAUACGUAGGUGGCGAGCGUUGUCCGGAAUCAUUGGGCGUAAAGGGAGCGCAGGCGGACAUAUAAGUCCAUCUUAAAAGUGCGGGGCUCAACCCCGUGAGGGGAUGGAAACUGUAUGCCUUGAGUGCAGGAGAGGAAAGCGGAAUUCCCAGUGUAGCGGUGAAAUGCGUAGAUAUUGGGAGGAACACCAGUGGCGAAGGCGGCUUUCUGGGCCGACACUGACGCUGAGAGACGAAAGCUAGGGGAGCAAAUGGGAUUAGAUACCCCCGUAGUCCCUGUCUCUUAUACA